This 1038-nucleotide ribosomal RNA is filed under the name Triticum aestivum (bread wheat). RNAcentral's name for it is "partial small subunit ribosomal RNA". The record is from RNAcentral. Lineage: Eukaryota; Viridiplantae; Streptophyta; Magnoliopsida; Poales; Poaceae.
AUGAGAAAUUCCUGUGAGUGCUGCAAGAGAUACUGGAGUCAUUUGCAUGGAAAGGUCAAGUGUUUCUUCACCCACAUGGACAGAAACUCUAACCAUAGCAUGGUCAUACCAGAGAGCUUUGUGAACUAUUUCGGGUGGAAGCUGUCAGGAACCAUUGAACUAGAAGCCCCCAAUGGUAAUGUGUACGAUGUCGGAAUUACUGAGCGUAGGAACAAAACAGUACUCCGAUCUGGGUGGCAGGCGUUUGUCAAUGCCAAUCAUAUAGUAGAAAGCGACUCGCUGAUGUUCCGAUACCGUGGAAAUUGUCGCUUCAAGGUUGUGGUCUUUGAUUCUAGUGGCUGUGAGAAAGUGGUGUCAUGUACUGCUCGCAUGCAGAGCAAUAUCAAUGAUCAAGAACCAAGCACAAAUCUUACAGACAUUUCAACCAGUUCCAGUGAUGGUAAUACUCAUUCGUCAGCACGAGGACGAUCAUAUGAUUGGCAGAGUGGAAGCUCAGGCCACCAUAGAAAACGAGCAAAGAAAGACGCAUUAUCCUCACCUUCGGAGGAUUCGUCAGGAGAAGACAGUCCAUAUGAGCACGAGUCAUCUAAAUCGGAAGAUACUAAACGUAUUGGAAUAACACCCGAGCAUGAUGAUACAGACCCAUACAUGAUGUCACUGGGUGCCCGUCUAACGCAAGGGCAGAAGAAGAAAGUUCUGGAGAAAGUUGGAGCCAUUGCAUCAGAUCUGCACAUCUACGUCGCAGUCAUGACCACGACCAGUGUCCGCGUCUCUCUAACCUUUGCCACAAAAUACUGUGACACGUACCUUCGGAAGGGGAGCCGGAGUUUGGUGUUUCAGGCAGAGGGGAAGAGCCAGCAAUGGCAUGGUGAGUUGCACGACAACAAUCGUUCCCUGAGGAUAAGUGGAGGCUGGACUUCUUUUGCCAGCGACAACAACCUGCGGGAGGGGGACAUCUGCCUCUUCGAGCUGAUGAAAAACAAGGUGGGGCUGAAGCAGAAGAUGAUGGUCUAUAUCAUUCGCCGUGAGCGUUGCUAG